UUAACUGAGUUCCUUCUCUAUUUUCUCUAGUGUUGUCAGCCUUUUCCCCUUAAGUUUUCCGGGGAAAGGAGGUGAGAGGGUCCCCGAGGGACAGCCCUGAGUCCCCAGCCCCGGGCUCCGUGACGCUCCGCCUGGCUCUUUGUUACUUAACUCUCCUGUGCAUCGAACUCCUCAUCUGGAAAGGAGAGAGAACAAGUGCCUCCCUCUGAGGGCUGGUGUGCCAGGGACAGAAGAGGAUGCGCUAGGGUGUUGGCCACAGCACCUGGCACACAAUGGAGAAAUGGAGGCUCUCCCCUGCCGAUUUGCUUCAUGCUUGUGCUGGGCGGGGCACUGUUCCGAGUGCCUUCUCUGUAUGCCCUGGGGAGGCUGGUGGAUAGUUCGCUGUGGAGAGAAGCUGAGGAAAACAGGGCCAGAGAGAGCAGAUGCUUUGCUGCUGGUCCUGAAGCUGGAGGAAGAGGCCAAAAGCAAAGGAAUGCAAGGGGUACAGCUCUCCCUACUGGGAAGGGAAGGAGACCACUGUACCCCUAGAACCUCUCCAGGGAGCGCUGCCCUGCCGAUACCUUGCUUUCGGCCCCUGAAGACUCACUGGAGAUUUCUGACCUGCAGUGCCAUCAGAGAACA
Molecule: long non-coding RNA, 621 nt
Organism: Artibeus jamaicensis (Jamaican fruit-eating bat)
Lineage: Eukaryota; Metazoa; Chordata; Mammalia; Chiroptera; Phyllostomidae
Exons: 4
Source: RefSeq, a predicted model, not a curated record